CGCGCAGGCGGUGAUGUAAGUCUGAGGUGAAAUCCCAGAGCUCAACUCUGGAACUGCCUUUGAUACUGGGUAUCUUGAGUAUGGAAGAGGUAAGUGGAAUUCCGAGUGUAGAGGUGAAAUUCGUAGAUAUUCGGAGGAACACCAGUGGCGAAGGCGGCUUACUGGUCCAUUACUGACGCUGAGGUGCGAAAGCGUGGGGAGCAAACG
Molecule: ribosomal RNA, 207 nt
Filed under: uncultured bacterium
Lineage: Bacteria
Description: partial 16S ribosomal RNA
Rfam family: Bacterial small subunit ribosomal RNA
Source: RNAcentral